RNAcentral lists this ribosomal RNA (468 nucleotides) under uncultured bacterium. RNAcentral's name for it is "partial 16S ribosomal RNA". It matches the Rfam family "Bacterial small subunit ribosomal RNA", at positions 28 to 507 of the family's 1533-position model. The record is from RNAcentral.
GACGAACGCUGGCGGCGUGCUUAACACAUGCAAGUCGAACGGAAAGGCCCUGCUUUUGUGGGGUGCUCGAGUGGCGAACGGGUGAGUAACACGUGAGUAACCUGCCCUUGACUUUGGGAUAACUUCAGGAAACUGGGGCUAAUACCGGAUAGGAGCUCCUGCUGCAUGGUGGGGGUUGGAAAUUUUCGGCGGUUGGGGAUGGACUGGCGGCUUAUCAGCUUGUUGGUGGGGUAGGUGCUUACCAAGGCAUUGACGGGUAGCCGGCCUGAGAGGGUGACCGGGGACAUUGGGACUGAGGGACGGACCAGACGCCUACGUGAGGCAGUAGGGGGGAAUAUUGUACAAUGGGCGGAAGCCGGAUGCAGCAACCUCGGGUGUGGGAUGACGGCUUUUGGGUUGUAAACCGCUUUCGCCUGUGACGAAGCGGGAGUGACGGUAAUGGAUAAAGAAGCACCGGCUAACUACGUG